UACGUAGGGUGCAAGCGUUAUUCGGAAUUACUGGGCGUAAAGCGUGCGCAGGCGGUUGUGCAAGACAGAUGUGAAAUCCCCGGGCUCAACCUGGGAACUGCAUUUGUGACUGCACGGCUAGAGUGUGGCAGAGGGGGGUAGAAUUCCACGUGUAGCAGUGAAAUGCGUAGAGAUGUGGAGGAAUACCGAUGGCGAAGGCAGCCCCCUGGGAUAGCACUGACGCUCAUGCACGAAAGCGUGGGGAGCAAACAGG
RNAcentral lists this ribosomal RNA (253 nucleotides) under uncultured bacterium. RNAcentral's name for it is "partial 16S ribosomal RNA". It matches the Rfam family "Bacterial small subunit ribosomal RNA", at positions 524 to 776 of the family's 1533-position model. The record is from RNAcentral.